Molecule: ribosomal RNA, 253 nt
Filed under: uncultured bacterium
Lineage: Bacteria
Description: partial 16S ribosomal RNA
Rfam family: Bacterial small subunit ribosomal RNA
Source: RNAcentral
UACAGAGGGUGCGAGCGUUAAUCGGAAUGACUGGGCGUAAAGGGUGCGUAGGUGGUUUGUUAAGUGAGCUGUGAAAGCCCUGGGCUUAACCUGGGAAUGGCAUCUCAUACUGAUGAGCUAGAGUAGGUGAGAGGAGUGUGGAAUUUCCGGUGUAGCGGUGAAAUGCGUAGAGAUCGGAAAGAACACCAGUGGCGAAGGCGGCACUCUGGCACCAUACUGACACUGAGGCACGAAGGCGUGGGGGGCAAACAGG